Glycine soja is the source of this 1175-nucleotide long non-coding RNA. RefSeq lists it as uncharacterized. NCBI's taxonomy places the organism in Eukaryota, Viridiplantae, Streptophyta, Magnoliopsida, Fabales, Fabaceae. The transcript is spliced from 2 exons. The record is from RefSeq and is a predicted model, not a curated record.
AAGGCGGGGACAAGCUCAGUAACAGUAAGAAUAAAUUAGCCUUUGAAAAACAAAUUAUUAAGUCCUCAAUAAGGGUUUUUACUGGGAAAUGAAAACAUUUUAUCACCAUCACUUGCUCGAAUGAGGCCUGGAAUGAUGGGGUCGAACUACUCCUAGUAGAUUACCAUGGUCCCUGGUAUGUGUUGUGAACAACAAAAGCGCAAUGUGGCCAAAUUUAUUUAUUUUUAACUUGUUUCAAAAUAAACCAACUGGGAGACUGAUAAACUUGGGCACACCUAUGAGGCUGAGACUAGGUUAACAUUUUAAGCAAUAAUACUUUUUAGGAAAAAUAUAAAAAUGUACCUAAAUUCAAAAUUUUGAUCUCUUAUCUGUAUUUUUUUUUGUUUUAGUUUGAUCUCUUAAAUUUAAAAAGUUACACUUUGGUCCCUUAAAGUGUCUCUAAUAGACCAAAUUGGGCCUUUCUUUAGUUUUUUGCACGAUGUUAAUUUUAACUGACGUGACAUAUCUCACAAUGCAAAAACAAAAUUAGUGUAGUAAACUGGCAAAAACACCAACUUAACAGAGACACUUUAAGAGACCUAAGUAAAACUUUCUAGACAUUGGAGACCAAACUGAAACCAAAAAUACAAAUAAGGGCCAAAGUUUUAUUUUAGCCCCUCUUUUGUUAUUCAUUCAAGCAACAACUUGUGCAAAUCAUGUGGAUGAAGACAGACUAAGAAUUGCUACUAUAUUAAUCUAAAAAUGAGUGGCAUGUUAUUACUUGUUAGAUUCCAGAAAUUAAGCUCUCAUUCAAUUAUAUAACACUGUUGAGAUGUCUUUAUUGCCCGAUGAUAAUAAUGGAGAAAUGGCAUGCAUACCGGAGCAACCAAAUUGCUCAGGAUCAAAAUAAUUGAUUUAGCAACAGAUUGAGUUGGCAUCACUUCCAGUGAACCGGAGGAAUCUGCAAAUAAAAAGCAUUCACAAGUCACAACCCGUGAAUAAAGAGAAAUGAUGCAAUGCUAUGAUUGAUCACAUGACAAAUGAUACUAAACUGGGAGUCAUGAAAGGCAACUAGUAUGAGCUAUAAUAUUUUGACUAUUGUAUUGAGACUGACAUGUAUGAACAGAAUGUGCCCGUGUAAAUGCUUAUUAAGGCAACCAUAGUAAUUACUUGAGUUGGACCCUUAAAGUGAGGAA